UACGUAGGGUGCAAGCGUUGUCCGGAAUUAUUGGGCGUAAAGAGUUCGUAGGCGGUUUGUCGCGUCCGUUGUGAAAGCUUGGGGCUCAACCCCAAGUCUGCAGUGGAUACGGGCAGACUAGAGUCAGGUAGGGGAGAACGGAAUUCCUGGUGCAGCGGUGAAAUGCGCAGAUAUCGAGAGGAACGCCGGUGGCGAAGGCGACUUACUGGACCGUUUCUGACACUGAGGCGCGAAAGCUAGGGGAGCAAACAGG
Molecule: ribosomal RNA, 253 nt
Filed under: uncultured bacterium
Lineage: Bacteria
Description: partial 16S ribosomal RNA
Rfam family: Bacterial small subunit ribosomal RNA
Source: RNAcentral